GACGAACGCUGGCGGCGUGGAUUAGGCGAUGCAAGUCGAACAGUAGGAUACCUUCGGGUAUCUGAGAGUGGCGAACGGGUGAGUAACACGUAGGUGAUCUACCCUCAAGAUUGGGACAACCCAGGGAAACUUGGGCUAAUACCGGAUGAAAGCAGCAGUGAUGUUGUUUGAAAGGUGGCGUAAGCUGCCGUUUGGGGAUGAGCCUGCGCUCUAUUAGUUAGUUGGCGGGGUAAAGGCCCACCAAGGCGAUGAUAGAUAGGCGGCCUUAACGGGUGGUCGCCCACACUGGGAUUGAGAUACGGCCCAGACUCCUACGGGAGGCAGCAGUCGAGAAUAGUCUACAAUGGCCGAAAGGCUGAUAGUGCGACGCCGCGUGAACGAAGAAGCCCUUCGGGGUGUAAAGUUCUUUUAUAUGUGAGCAGUGCUUUCUAUGUGAACAGCAUGGGGAGAGAGAUAUUAGCAUAUGAAUAAGCAACGGCUAACUCCGUG
This 489-nucleotide ribosomal RNA is filed under the name uncultured bacterium. RNAcentral describes it as "bacterial SSU rRNA". It matches the Rfam family "Bacterial small subunit ribosomal RNA", at positions 28 to 507 of the family's 1533-position model. The record is from RNAcentral.